GACCUGAUGCAGCCAUGCCGCGUGUGUGAAGAAGGCCUUCGGGUUGUAAAGCACUUUCAGUUGUGAGGAAAGGUUGGUAGUUAAUACCUGCCAGCUGUGACGUUAACAACAGAAGAAGCACCGGCUAACUCCGUGCCAGCAGCCGCGGUAAUACGGAGGGUGCGAGCGUUAAUCGGAAUUACUGGGCGUAAAGCGCACGCAGGCGGUUUGUUAAGCUAGAUGUGAAAGCCCCGGGCUCAACCUGGGAUGGUCAUUUAGAACUGGCAGACUAGAGUCUUGGAGAGGGGAGUGGAAUUCCAGGUGUAGCGGUGAAAUGCGUAGAUAUCUGGAGGAACAUCAGUGGCGAAGGCGGCUCCCUGGCCAAAGACUGACGCUCAUGUGCGAAAGUGUGGGUAGCGAACAGGAUUAGAUACCCUGGUAGUCCACACCGUAAACGCUGUCUACUAGCUGUGUGUGAAUUUAAUUCGUGAGUAGCGAAGCUAACGCGCUAAGUAGACCGCCUGGGGAGUACGGCCGCAAGGUUAAAACUCAAA
This 533-nucleotide ribosomal RNA is filed under the name Alteromonadaceae bacterium. RNAcentral's name for it is "bacterial SSU rRNA". It matches the Rfam family "Bacterial small subunit ribosomal RNA", at positions 380 to 905 of the family's 1533-position model. Lineage: Bacteria; Pseudomonadati; Pseudomonadota; Gammaproteobacteria; Alteromonadales; Alteromonadaceae. The record is from RNAcentral.